GAUGAACGCUGGCGGCGUGCCUAAUACAUGCAAGUCGAGCGAACGGACGAUAAGCUUGCUUCUCUGAUGUUAGCGGCGGACGGGUGAGUAACACGUGGAUAACCUACCUAUAAGACUGGGAUAACUUCGGGAAACCGGAGCUAAUACCGGAUAAUAUUUUGAACCGCAUGGUUCAAAAGUGAAAGACGGUCUUGCUGUCACUUAUAGAUGGAUCCGCGCUGCAUUAGCUAGUUGGUAAGGUAACGGCUUACCAAGGCAACGAUGCAUAGCCGACCUGAGAGGGUGAUCGGCCACACUGGAACUGAGACACGGUCCAGACUCCUACGGGAGGCAGCAGUAGGGAAUCUUCCGCAAUGGGCGAAAGCCUGACGGAGCAACGCCGCGUGAGUGAUGAAGGUCUUCGGGUCGUAAAGCUCUGUUAUUAGGGAAGAACAUAUGUGUAAGUAACUGUGCACAUCUUGACGGUACCUAAACAGAAAGCCACGGCUAACUACGUG
RNAcentral lists this ribosomal RNA (497 nucleotides) under uncultured bacterium. Its description in RNAcentral is "partial 16S ribosomal RNA". It matches the Rfam family "Bacterial small subunit ribosomal RNA", at positions 28 to 507 of the family's 1533-position model. The record is from RNAcentral.